CUGCUUCACAGUGCUUUGCAGCCCUCUCUAAGCAGUUUUACAGAGUCGGCCUACUGCCCCCAACAAUCCGGGUCCUCAUUUUAACGACCUCGGAAAGAUGGAAGGCUGAGUCAACCUUGAGCCUGGUGGGAAUCAAACUGCCAAAUUGCAGGCAGCGGGUAGUCAGCAGGAGCAGCCUGCAGUACUGCAUUCUAACCACUACAUCACCAUGGCAGCAUGGUCCCUAUUCCUAGUCCUUGUAGAUAUAAUAAUAAGACUUGCUUAUUAUUUUUUACCAUGGUUAUUUUGAGGCACAAACACUAUAUUGGGUUCUGAAAGAAAGAGGGAGGGAGGGAGGGAGGGAGAGAGAGAGAGGGGGGGGGGGGGGGGGGGGAGAGAGAGAGGGAGAGAGAGAGGGAGGGAGAGAGAGAUACUGCAUUCCAUUGUCCUAACAUGUAGUUCUUACUCUAGGCGCAUAUCAUCGAAAGUGUAGAUGUGAAUCCACAGCUCUGCUUCAAGUUUUCUUAUAUGAACACCAGCCACACUGAGUGCCCACACCAGACAGAUGCUACCUGGAAUGUAUCUCUCCAUGUGAAAUUUUUGCAACUUCACUUAAACUUCCGUUCUCGCACAGCGGCUUCUUUCAGUUCCAGCUUAUGCCAGCCGGUAUCUUCAAGCCAGUGUCAACCUGAACCCGCUGUCUAUACCAUCACGCAUGUAAGCGACUGCCGGUCUCAAGAGGAGGAAUUUGGG
RNAcentral lists this long non-coding RNA (732 nucleotides) under Notechis scutatus (mainland tiger snake). RNAcentral describes it as "lncRNA (ENSNSUG00000004502.1)". Lineage: Eukaryota; Metazoa; Chordata; Lepidosauria; Squamata; Elapidae. The record is from RNAcentral.